AUUGAACGCUGGCGGCAGGCCUAACACAUGCAAGUCGAACGAACCCUUCGGGGUUAGUGGCGGACGGGUGAGUAACACGUGGGAACGUGCCUUUAGGUUCGGAAUAACUCAGGGAAACUUGUGCUAAUACCGAAUGUGCCCUUCGGGGGAAAGAUUUAUCGCCUUUAGAGCGGCCCGCGUCUGAUCAGCUAGUUGGUGAGGUAAUGGCUCACCAAGGCUACGAUCAGUAGCUGGUCUGUGAGGAUGACCAGCCACAUUGGGACUGAGACAAGGCCCAAACUCCUACGGGAGGCAGCAGUGGGGAAUCUUGCGCAAUGGGCGAAAGCCUGACGCAGCCAUGCCGCGUGGAUGAUGAAGGUCUUAGGAUUGUAAAAUCCUUUCACCGGUGAAGAUAAUGACUGUAGCCGGAGAAGAAGCCCCGGCUAACUUCGUGCCAGCAGCCGCCGUAA
Molecule: ribosomal RNA, 449 nt
Filed under: uncultured bacterium
Lineage: Bacteria
Description: partial 16S ribosomal RNA
Rfam family: Bacterial small subunit ribosomal RNA
Source: RNAcentral